AGGCUCAUAGCUCAAUCUGGUCAGAGCAAACGACCUAUAAUCGUUAGGUUUUGGGUUCAAAUCCCAAUGGGCCUACUA
This 78-nucleotide transfer RNA is filed under the name Patescibacteria group bacterium. RNAcentral's name for it is "tRNA-Ile". It matches the Rfam family "tRNA". From Rfam's summary of the family: Transfer RNA (tRNA) molecules are approximately 80 nucleotides in length. Their secondary structure includes four short double-helical elements and three loops (D, anti-codon, and T loops). The record is from RNAcentral.